This 556-nucleotide ribosomal RNA is filed under the name uncultured bacterium. RNAcentral's name for it is "bacterial SSU rRNA". It matches the Rfam family "Bacterial small subunit ribosomal RNA", at positions 67 to 599 of the family's 1533-position model. The record is from RNAcentral.
CUUUCCUCCCGAGUGCUUGCACUCAAUUGGAAAGAGGAGUGGCGGACGGGUGAGUAACACGUGGGUAACCUACCCAUCAGAGGGGGAUAACACUUGGAAACAGGUGCUAAUACCGCAUAACAGUUUAUGCCGCAUGGCAUAAGAGUGAAAGGCGCUUUCGGGUGUCGCUGAUGGAUGGACCCGCGGUGCAUUAGCUAGUUGGUGAGGUAACGGCUCACCAAGGCCACGAUGCAUAGCCGACCUGAGAGGGUGAUCGGCCACACUGGGACUGAGACACGGCCCAUACUCCUACGGGAGGCAGCAGUAGGGAAUCUUCGGCAAUGGACGAAAGUCUGACCGAGCAACGCCGCGUGAGUGAAGAAGGUUUUCGGAUCGUAAAACUCUGUUGUUAGAGAAGAACAAGGACGUUAGUAACUGAACGUCCCCUGACGGUAUCUAACCAGAAAGCCACGGCUAACUACGUGCCAGCAGCCGCGGUAAUACGUAGGUGGCAAGCGUUGUCCGGAUUUAUUGGGCGUAAAGCGAGCGCAGGCGGUUUCUUAAGUCUGAUGUGAAA